GACGAACGCUGGCGGCGUGCUUAACACAUGCAAGUCGAACGAAGAGCGAUGGAAGCUUGCUUCUAUCAAUCUUAGUGGCGAACGGGUGAGUAACGCGUAAUCAACCUGCCCUUCAGAGGGGGACAACAGUUGGAAACGACUGCUAAUACCGCAUACGAUCUAAUCUCGGCAUCGAGGAUAGAUGAAAGGUGGCCUCUACAUGUAAGCUAUCACUGAAGGAGGGGAUUGCGUCUGAUUAGCUAGUUGGAGGGGUAACGGCCCACCAAGGCGAUGAUCAGUAGCCGGUCUGAGAGGAUGAACGGCCACAUUGGGACUGAGACACGGCCCAGACUCCUACGGGAGGCAGCAGUGGGGAAUCUUCCGCAAUGGACGAAAGUCUGACGGAGCAACGCCGCGUGAGUGAUGACGGCCUUCGGGUUGUAAAGCUCUGUUAAUCGGGACGAAAGGCCUUCUUGCGAACAGUGAG
Molecule: ribosomal RNA, 466 nt
Filed under: Veillonella parvula
Lineage: Bacteria; Bacillati; Bacillota; Negativicutes; Veillonellales; Veillonellaceae
Description: bacterial SSU rRNA
Rfam family: Bacterial small subunit ribosomal RNA
Source: RNAcentral